RNAcentral lists this small RNA (582 nucleotides) under Histoplasma capsulatum var. duboisii H88. Its description in RNAcentral is "Histoplasma capsulatum H88 hypothetical RNA". Lineage: Eukaryota; Fungi; Ascomycota; Eurotiomycetes; Onygenales; Ajellomycetaceae. The record is from RNAcentral.
AAGCCAUCGGCUGCGUUUGUGAGCAAAUAAGUUCUCAUUGCCACACAAAGCCUUCAGAUAAAAUUACCUUUCUGUAACUAUAAAUUUUUUUUACUCUUCACUAAAUCUGAAUGAACAAGCAGCUAUCUCAUUCUAACUUAGUCUUUAGUGUAUUGGUUCUGUCUUUCUCUUUGCAGCUGUCAGGGUGCGUUAGGGCGCACAAAGGCACGAGCAGAUGGAUAUCAGAAAGUGCCUCUAAUGACUGCUAGCGAUUUACAAAGAGAAUCAGCAGCUAAAAGAGACUAGAUGAUCCUAACAGGAAGAUGGAAAUCACUGCUAAGAGGAGCAUCUUUUAUAGCAGGUAGAGCUAGCUAAAAACAGCAGCGGUUUAACUAUAAGAUUCAAUCUAUACAUUGUGUAAAGAUGAAUAGAAUCCUCAUCAUCUUCAUACUGGUCGGAUUGUUUAGCAGCUAAUAGACAUUAUCUGAUGGAUUGAUGGUAGUAGCAGAAGACACCAAGCGUCGUCGUGCGUGAUCAAAAUGCAGGGAAAGCCUGGGGGCCUUUGCCCGUCUACCUCUCUAAGAAAAACUUCCCUAUCCAGCC